Molecule: long non-coding RNA, 533 nt
Organism: Leptinotarsa decemlineata (Colorado potato beetle)
Lineage: Eukaryota; Metazoa; Arthropoda; Insecta; Coleoptera; Chrysomelidae
Source: RefSeq, a predicted model, not a curated record
GUACGAAAAUAAAAUAUCUAAUCGAGGCAAUUGGUAACACUGAUGAUGGCAACCCUAAUCAAAAUACAGAAAUGAAGUGCUGAAAAUAUAUUUUUUCAAAUUAUAUAAAAUGAAAAAAGUAUCUAAAUUUGAUUUACUGAGAUUCCCUCUUCUUUUUGGGACCAUGCUGUCCAUAUUAGGAGUUGGUUUCUUGUACAGAGAAAAAUGGAUGGGAAACAUUGAAAUGGAAAGGAGUAAACUCUAUAAGCAAAAUGUUGAACCAGACACUUUUUUAGAAGAAUUGAAGAAGAUGCAUAAGCAGAAGUGAUUUUUGAAUUAGGUACCUAUAACUCUUUAAAAUUAAAAUAUCUAUAUUGUUUAUAUUAUUACAACUUCAAUACAAAUGAAGCAGCUUUAGAAUUCACUAGUUGUUACUAUUUAUUAUGAGAUUUUUACACUAUAAAUGGUUUUACAUAAACUGCUAUAUGUGUUUGGCUCUACAAUAGUUUCCUAGGUUUCAUUAAAUAAUGUUGAAUAAAAUUUUGGACUCAUUA